AGGGCAGCCAAGUCGUGAGGCGGAGCUAAUCCCUUAAAGCCAUUCUCAGUUCGGAUUGUAGGCUGAAACUCGCCUACAUGAAGCUGGAGUUACUAGUAAUCGCAGAUCAGAAUGCUGCGGUGAAUGCGUCCCCGGGUCUUGUACACACCGCCCGUCACACCACGGAAGUUGGGGGCGCCCGAAGCCACUUAGCUAACCCUUUUGGGAAGCGAGUGUCGAAGGUGAAAUCAAUAACUGGGGUGAAGUCGUAACAAGGUACC
RNAcentral lists this ribosomal RNA (260 nucleotides) under uncultured bacterium. RNAcentral's name for it is "partial 16S ribosomal RNA". It matches the Rfam family "Bacterial small subunit ribosomal RNA", at positions 1243 to 1500 of the family's 1533-position model. The record is from RNAcentral.